This 394-nucleotide unclassified non-coding RNA is filed under the name Hevea brasiliensis (rubber tree). Lineage: Eukaryota; Viridiplantae; Streptophyta; Magnoliopsida; Malpighiales; Euphorbiaceae. The record is from RNAcentral.
AAAAACAACUUAUAGCUGCAACCAUUGCAACAAGAGAUAUAACAAAGCAGGGAAGGAAGUAUGGAAACCUCCCAAGAAAGGAAUCUUUGGAAAUUAUGUGUGGAUAUUUCUCUGCGGGCAGCGCGAAAAAUCCUCCAAUGGCCGGUCCAAUUAUUAAACCUAUUGCCCAUGCGGUAGAAACAUUUGAUAAUGCAAGGGCUUGAUGCUCUGGCCGACAACUUUCUGCAGCAUAAGCCUUUACUGUGAUAAGUAUACCAUUAAAAAACCCUAGAAACAAUCUUGUGACAAUCGCCAUCCAAUAAGUCAUUGUCAGUCCAAAAAUAGUGUUGAAUAUUAUCACUGAGAGGAUGCCGAUCACUAGUACUGGUUUUCUCCCGUACUUAUCAGCCACAAU